GACGAACGCUGGCGGCGUGCUUAACACAUGCAAGUCGAACGGCAAGGCCCUGCUUUUGUGGGUUGCUCGAGUGGCGAACGGGUGAGUAACACGUGAGUAACCUGCCCUUGACUUUGGGAUAACUUCAGGAAACUGGGGCUAAUACCGGAUAGGAGCUCCUGCUGCAUGGUGGGGGUUGGAAAGUUUCGGCGGUUGGUGAUGGACUGGCGGCUUAUCAGCUUGUUGGUGGGGUAGUGGCUUACCAAGGCUUUGAAGGGUAGCCGGCCUGAGAGGGUGACCGGCCACAUUGGGACUGAGGUACGGCCCAGACUCCUACGGGAGGCAGCAGUGGGGAAUAUUACACAAUGGGCGGGAGCCUGAUACAGCAACGCCGCGUGCGGGAUGACGGCCUUCGAGUUGUAAACCGCUUUCGCCUGUGACGGAGCGUGAGUGACGGUAAUGGGUAAAGAAGCACCGGCUAACUACGUG
RNAcentral lists this ribosomal RNA (468 nucleotides) under uncultured bacterium. RNAcentral describes it as "partial 16S ribosomal RNA". It matches the Rfam family "Bacterial small subunit ribosomal RNA", at positions 28 to 507 of the family's 1533-position model. The record is from RNAcentral.